RNAcentral lists this ribosomal RNA (460 nucleotides) under uncultured bacterium. RNAcentral describes it as "partial 16S ribosomal RNA". It matches the Rfam family "Bacterial small subunit ribosomal RNA", at positions 338 to 795 of the family's 1533-position model. The record is from RNAcentral.
CCUACGGGAGGCAGCAGUGAGGAAUAUUGGUCGAUGGGCGCGAGCCUGAACCAGCCAAGUCGCGUGAGGGAAGACGGCCCUACGGGUUGUAAACCUCUUUUGCCGGGGAGCAAAGGGCGUCACGUGUGGCGCCCCUGAGAGUACCCGGAGAAAAAGCCGCGGCGAACUCCGUGCCAGCAGCCGCGGUAAUACGGAGGAUGAGAGCGUUAUCCGGAUUUAUUGGGUUUAAAGGGUGCGUAGGCGGAGCGUUAAGUCAGUGGUCAAAUUGAGGGGCUCAACCCCUUCCCGCCAUUGAAACUGGCGCUCUUGAGUGGAAGAGAAGUAUGCGGAAUGCGUGGUGUAGCGGUGAAAUGCAUAGAUAUCACGCAGAACCCCGAUUGCGAAGGCAGCAUGCCGGCUUCCUACUGACGCUGAAGCACGAAAGCGUGGGGAUCGAACAGGAUUAGAUACCCCAGUAGUC